This 300-nucleotide ribosomal RNA is filed under the name uncultured Anaerospora sp. RNAcentral's name for it is "bacterial SSU rRNA". It matches the Rfam family "Bacterial small subunit ribosomal RNA", at positions 114 to 431 of the family's 1533-position model. Lineage: Bacteria; Bacillati; Bacillota; Negativicutes; Selenomonadales; Sporomusaceae. The record is from RNAcentral.
CGCGUGGGAAUAUACCCUUCACUACGGAAUAGCCUCGGGAAACUGAGAGUAAUACCGUAUACGCCCUUAGGGGGAAAGAUUUAUCGGUGAUGGAUUAGCCCGCGUCUGAUUAGAUAGUUGGUGGGGUAAUGGCCUACCAAGUCUACGAUCAGUAGCUGGUUUGAGAGGAUGAUCAGCCACACUGGAACUGAGACACGGUCCAGACUCCUACGGGAGGCAGCAGUGGGGAAUAUUGCACAAUGGGCGCAAGCCUGAUGCAGCCAUGCCGCGUGUGUGAAGAAGGCUCUAGGGUUGUAAAGC